RNAcentral lists this ribosomal RNA (346 nucleotides) under uncultured eukaryote. Its description in RNAcentral is "SSU rRNA". It matches the Rfam family "Eukaryotic small subunit ribosomal RNA", at positions 594 to 945 of the family's 1831-position model. The record is from RNAcentral.
AUAGCGUAUAUUAAAGUUGUUGCAGUUAAAAAGCUCGUAGUUGAACCUUGGGCCUGGCUGGCCGGUCCGCCUCACCGCGUGUACUGGUCCGGCCGGGCCUUUCCUUCUGGGGAGCCGCAUGCCCUUCACUGGGCGUGUCGGGGAACCAGGACUUUUACUUUGAAAAAAUUAGAGUGUUCAAAGCAGGCCUUUGCUCGAAUACAUUAGCAUGGAAUAAUAGAAUAGGACGUGCGGUUCUAUUUUGUUGGUUUCUAGGACCACCGUAAUGAUUAAUAGGGAUAGUCGGGGGCAUCAGUAUUCAAUUGUCAGAGGUGAAAUUCUUGGAUUUAUUGAAGACUAACUACUG